GGGACGCUUCCCACUGAAUAAAUAGAAAUAGAGGAUUAAAUUCCACGGGUCCCAACGUGGGCUUCCUGGGCCAGUGUGGAAGGUGGGGCUUGGAGGGCAGAGAAGGCCCCCCGUUGCCAGGAGCUCUAAGGGCACUCAAAAGCCAUCAGGAGCGGGCCUCCCUGGGAAGAAACUGGCCUCCAGAUGGGCCCUGGGAGGAGGCUGGGGGGUUUGCUCAGGAUCCCGGACCAUGGCAGCUGAGUCCUCCAAUCCCUGCCCACUCAGAGUGCCGUCUACACGUGGCACCGCAACGGGUUAUCGUUACGGCACAUGCUGAGUACCACGUACUUCCUAUCCUUUUUAUUUUGAGGCAUCAUUAAUAUUCUAAGAUGUCCUUAAUUAAUUGAUUCAUUGAUUGCUUUUUACAGCUGCAUCUGUGGCAUAUGGAAACGCCCAGGCUAGGGAUCCAGUUGGAGCUGAGGCUGCCAGCCUACGCCACAGCCACGAAGCCAGAUCCGGGCCACAUCUGGAACCUAUGUUGUAACUCGUGGCAACGCUGGAUCCUUAUCCCACUGAGCAGGGCCAGGGAUUGAUCCUGCCUCCUCAUGGAUACUAGUCAGGGUCUUAACCCACUGAGCCACAGCAGGAACCUCCAGAUAUCCUUAUUUCGCACGGGAAGAAACAGAAGCCCCGAGAGGCCAAGUGACGAAUCAGAGGUCACACAGCUCAUCAAUAGCAAGCCCAGAUCCUGCACCCUGAUCCGUCUUAUUUCAGGCCCCCUGCCCUUGGCUAUACACGGUUUUCUUCCAGCUCCAAACUCCCUGCCCUCUCCUUGCUUUUCCAUCUUCCCAGCGCUCAGCCUCGUGUCUGGCACUGAGGGUGGAGGCCCGAUUCUGCCAGAUUAAGUAACAGCCGUGGUGAAACACAAAGGAUCCAUCUCCCCAUUUUGGACCCAAGUAUUAUUGAGUGUUCCUCUGUUUUGACAUGUGGCUCCUCAAAGAAAGGUCCCCGUGGUCGGAGAGGAGCGGGUCUCUGCGUAUUACAGCCCUUCUUUGAGAACCACGAUGGGCUUUGGCAUGUACGAGGCACAGUGGACGACACCUGCUGUCCCCACUGUGUCCCUAGGGCCCAGCCCCAUGCCCAACACCAGAGGAGCCCACAAAUAUGUUAUGUGCUGAAUACAAGUGAGUGACUGAAUGACAACUGUACUGGAAACUUCCACUCGGUUUAAUGUAUACGUUAGUUGGCUCGGGCUGCCACAGCACAAACUCAUAAACCGGGUAGCUUAAACUUAACACUUCUGUUCUGAUAGUCCUGGGGGCUGGAAGCUCAAGAUCAAGGUGCUGGCAAGAUUGGUGAUUGGUAAGGGCUGACAGUCUGGUGGGGUGCGGGGCCACUGUGGGGGGGGGAUGAUGGAGUGAUGGACAUUGAGGGGGACAAGCUCUUUCAUGCCUCUUCUUCCAAGGGCACUAACCGCAUCGUGAAGGCCCCACGUCCAUGUUCUAAUUCCCUCCCAACAGGGCAUGUGUCCGAAUGCCAUCAUGCUGGUCUUAGGACUGCAACAUGUGAAUUCUGGAGAGACCCAAAGCUGCAGUCUCUAACACUUAGGUUAUGAAAGAUCCUGUUUUUUUUUUUUUUUUUUUUUUUUUUUCUUGGAAACUGACAAGAAGGGGAGAGAAAGGGAGAGACAGAAAAAUGUUGAUAGAAGAUGGAAUGAGCUCAGCCUGGACGCCCAGGGCUGGACACAAAAUGAUGCGACAGGAUGGGCAUCUCCCGAUGGGGUGGGAGGCAGCAAAGACCCUGGUGGGAAGGAGAGAAGAUCAGUGAGUGCCCGUUAGAAGCGGAGUCCCACCGCCACCCUGUGGACAAGCCCGGGGAGUGAUGGCGGAUCCCUCUGCUGCAAACCUGGCGCCCCGGUGCCAACAUGUGGGCAGGGGACUUUUCAUUUCUCACAGCUGCUUCCCCGGGGAAGGGGGCAACCUGGGGCACCGCCCCUCUGAAAGUGCAUUGGAGCAAGAGGAACCUGGGUUUCAUCCCUCUGUGAACUUGAUGCAUCAGGGCCUGCUCUGUCCUCAGUAGUUUAUCUGCGAAGUGACCCUCUCUGAGUUCCUUUCAACAGCGACAUAGGAGUCCAUGAUUCCGGAGGGAUCUGUGAGGCUCAGAGUCCAUCAGCCCGGAAGCCAAAAGGUCUGGCUCCAUGGAAGGAGGAACCCACGUGGCCUCCCCUUCCUUUCUCCAAAGCAGGAGCCCGACCCUGGCGAGCCCACAGCCUCAUGGCAGAGUCAGUUUGGAAUAUUUUUGUUCCAUUCAUGGGCCUCUAAUGGAAUCAAGACCAGUCUAUUUAUAUGUACAGAUGGUGCAAACUUUAGUGGAACAUCAAAUGCACCAGAUGUUGUCAGGACAGAGGAAAAUGAGUGAACUUGGCUGAUAGAAAUCAAAGAGCCCCUGGGACAAGAUGUCUUUCUGGACCCAAGAUGCACAGGACGCUGAACAGGCAGAUGAUAAGAAACGCCAGGAUGCCGGGCCCCUUGGAUUGAGGGUGGCUUCGGCAACCUGGGGAAGGGAGUCAGUCCGAGCUUGUUUUGCUGGGGGAGAAAAUGGAAUCCUUGUCUGUUCCCAUUGUUCCUUCUGAGCCCACGCAGGGGACCAAGCAGCAGGCGUUUCAUCUCCAAUUAUUUUCAGCCAAGGGAAAAAGCAGAUGGUAAAUAGCACUGAAAAAAAAAAAACUUUUUUAGAAUUAAUAUUAAUAAAAGAUGUGUUGGAGGCCCUGCCUGCAUCUUGGGGAACAAGGGCCCGCCUUGUGGGUGGUGUUUGGGGGGAUGAAGGUAGCAAGGGGCCAGGGCGGGGAGAGGUGACUGCAGCGAGAAAGCGACACAGGGGACUGAAGGUGCCAGAGGGCGGUGUGGGUGGCGGGGCACCCUUGGGAGCCCAGCAUCUGGCGGGGCUGGAGCCCUAAAGCCAUGAGGCGUCUGCCGAGGCCCUGAGCUCCGCAGAGGAGGAGGGCGGUGGGGGCCAGACAGUGGGCUGCCCAGUGCUCACAAGGAACACUGGCGCCACAGGGCCCCUCUUCCAGCCGGGUGUGGCCCAGAUGGCUCUUUCAUGCAGCUGCAGCGCACAGAGGGGGCUGGCGGGUGCCCUCACUUCCGCGGCCCACGCCGGCCACGAUCCUGGCCCCACUCGGCCAGUCCCAGUGUCCAUCUGUCAGCAAGUGCUAUCGGGUGUCCACUGGCUGCCCAGCUGUCCUCUGAGAGUUUGGAUUCCAUGUUCAAGCAGAGAAACCGAUCUGGCUCCUUCAGGAUUUGUAGGCGUCAUGGGAGGAAAGAGUGACAUGCAGUGGGUCCCGGGGGCAGAGGGCCAAAGGCAGGUUCCUGGGGGCACUCGUGUAUUCCACAAAAGUUUUGGAGCACUCGUUAGGUGCUUCCCAUGGUUCUAGGAAUGAAAUAGAUGAGGUCUCUGCCCUCCAGGAGCUUAUAGUCCAGCCCGAGGGAAGCAAUAGUCAAAUGCAUGCCUGCAUAUUUGUGAAUUAUUAUCAGGUUAAAUUAAUUCAUAGGAAAGGACAAAUGGUGACAAAUGCCUUAAAAGAGAGAAUGAGAAUGCCAGGAGAGCUACACGGAGUGAGUCUGUGUCGUGCUGAUUUACCAGAGUCCCAGAGGUGUCUCUGAGCUUCUUUCUCCCUUUGCCCCAGAGCUCUGGGAGGCGUGAGCUUGGAGAAGAAGCUGCAAAGAGAGUAUGUACAUAGGCAUUCACAC
RNAcentral lists this long non-coding RNA (3728 nucleotides) under Sus scrofa (pig). RNAcentral describes it as "lncRNA (ENSSSCG00000062000.1)". The record is from RNAcentral. Lineage: Eukaryota; Metazoa; Chordata; Mammalia; Artiodactyla; Suidae.